This 10706-nucleotide long non-coding RNA is filed under the name Micromonas pusilla. RNAcentral describes it as "long non-coding RNA (MPUS_LNC000002)". Lineage: Eukaryota; Viridiplantae; Chlorophyta; Mamiellophyceae; Mamiellales; Mamiellaceae. The record is from RNAcentral.
GGACGUGGAAGCUCCUGCACACGAUGGCGGCGUACUACCCCGACGACCCCAGCGCGCUGCAUCGCGUCCAGGCGAGGCGAUUCUUCGACGCGCUCGGGUUGCUGUACCCGUGCGACCACUGCGCCGCGGACUUCCGCGAGGACAUGGGGAAGACGCCGCCGAGGGUGGAGAGCCGCGAGGCGCUCUCCACGUGGCUGUGCGAGCGGCACAACGAGGUGAACGAGAAGCUCGGGAAGAAGCCGUUCAAGUGCACGAUGCGCGCGCUGGACGAGCGAUGGUUAAAGGGAGACUCGUCUUGCUGGCACGGCUGAUGAGAACUUACCGCAGAACUCACGCGCGGCUCCUUCGAUCCCAUGCACCUAACUAAUAAGAUAGCAAAGUCUCUACCUCCGACAUCACUCCGCCGCUUCGGUCGCGGCCUCGCCCUCCUCGCCCUCGCCCGCGCCGGUUGACGUUCCAUCUUCCUCCGCGGCGGGACUCGCGGCGACGUCCAACACGACGGCGACGUCGCCGCAUCUUCCGUGCUCGCCGUACCCGCCCUCCGUGACGUCCCUCACGCGCAGGGUGUACAAACCCGCGGCGACCUCGCGGUGGACGACGACGUGACGCAAGUCCACGACGCCUUUCUUCGUGCGGACGUCGCCGCCGUAGAUCUUCGCUUCCUCGCCGUAGACCCACUCGGCGGCGGCGGUUUCUUCCGCCGCCGCCUCGAACGACUGCGUGGGUGAAGCGAUCGGUCAGUCGAACGUCUUACCGGUCAAACGUUGAAAGGGAAGCGCGGGUGAAGAGUGACGACGGGAAAAGUCCUUAAGGAACGGCGUGCACCACGCGAACGGGGUCGUAUGGGAAGCAGUCUCACCUCCGCCGCCGCCUCCGCCGCCGCCUCCGCCGCGGCUUCGCCGUCGCCUUCGCCUUCGCCUUCCUCGCCCUCCGCGGGCGGUUCCGGCUCCGGGAGCGACCGCAGGCCCGCGUGGAGGGUGCAUCGGAAUAGACGUCCGGUCUCGUGCGUCGCGAUCUCGCCGCCGCCGUCCUCGGGAGGCUGCACCUCCUCCUCCUUCGCCUCUUCCUCCUUAUUCUCCUCCUUCGCCUCUUCCUCCUCCUCGCGCGCCUCCGCGCCCGGCGCGUCGUCCGCCUUCGCCUUCUCCUCCCUCGGCUUCGGCUUCCAAGGCACCCGCGCUUGAAUCACCGCGCUGCCUUCCGGGAUCGCGCUCCCCGCGACGCACGCGACGGGCGCGUCCUUCGUGCCGACCUCCUUCGCCUCUUCUUCUUCGCCGCCCGCCGCCGCCGCCGCCGCCGCCCGCGCCACCGUCGGCAACGCCACCGGAACGCCGCGCGCCCACUCCCCGACGUAGCUCACCUUACUCUCCGCGUCGUACGCCUCGCCGUGGCCGUGCCGCGACCCCUCGCUCCACUCGCCGUCGUACGUACUGCGUUCGUCGGCGUCGGCGUCGCCGAAGGGCGUCGACGACGUCCCUCUUCCGUGCCGCGCGCCGUCCACGACGUCGCCCUCGUACCGCUCCCCCGUCGCCUUGAUCGUCUCCACCCCGCGCCCGUUCGGGCGGUUCCGCGCGAAGUCGCCCUCGUACGUGUCGCCGUUCGCGCGCGUGAGCGCGCCCUUCCCGACGCGGACGUUGCGCGCGACGUCGCCUUCGAACCACUCGCCCGACGGCGACCAGUGCGUGCCGUACCCGUGCAUCUCGCCCUCGACCCACGCGCCGUCGUACCACCUCCCGUCCGCCCACGUCUUCUUCCCGAUCCCCGUCAUCUCGUCCCGUGUGAACUCGCCGUCGUACGAGCCGCCGUCAGAGAAGGUGAGGAUCCCGCGGCCGUGCUUCGCGCCGUCGACGAAGCCGCCCUCGUAGCGUAAGAAAUACCCAUUUGGGUAAUCGAAGACGCCGUGGCCGUGGUGCACGCCCUUCGCGGUCGCGUCGCCGUCGUAUCGCGACGUGAGCUCGCUACCGCGGACGGUGGAGCCGAACCGUCCGGUAGAGGACGUGUCGAACGUCGUCGCGCCCGCUCGCGACAUCGCGGCGACGCGUCCCAAAUACUGAUGCAAUUUUCGACGACGACGACGCGACGCGACGAAUUAAUGAACUCGCGGUCUCUACUCGAGCUGCCGCGCAGACCGCCAUCACUUCGCUCGCGCGCGCUCGAGGCCGACCGCGCGACGCCGCGCGCGGAGAUCGAGCUCACGAGCACCCGUCGUCGUCAUGGUCAAGCGCGGACGCGACGACGAUGGCGCCGUCGCCCCCGCUCCCGCGGUCGAGCCCGCGCGACAGCGUCACUACCUCGCGAUCCGCAGGGCGCUCAACGAUCAGUUCGUCGCGGACCUGACGCGGAAGCUGACGCAGAAUCCCACGCGAAGGUUCGACAAAGAGGUCGCGGACUACGAGAAGUUCUCCAGGCAGCUCCGGGUGCGUCUCGAGCCGCGAGAAUCGUCUUCGACGCCCCGCCCGCGGCGCGACGCCGAACUCGAGAUUUCGAUCCCCCGAUUUCGUUUGUUUUUUUCUCUUCUCUGAGAUCCGUUCCCCCGUCCUCCCCAUCCCCACGACAGAACGAAUACGCGGACGUCGCCGCGGCGAUCGAACGAGACGCCGCGGCGACGUUCGCCGCCGCGGGCGCGAUCGCGAAGCACGGCGAGUCCUUCCUCUGGGGCACCGGCGACGCCGGGCAGCUCGGAUUCGGCGAAGACGUCAUGGAGCUGUCCCGACCGAAACUCCUCAACACGCUGCCGUCAGCGACGUCCGUGCUGAAAGUCGUCUGCGGCGGCAUGCACACGCUGUGGAUCGUCGACGGUGGUCUGGUGUACUCCGCGGGCGUCAACGACGAGGGCGCGCUCGGGAGGAAGGCGAACAAGGAUGACGCGGACGCGGAGACGAAGCCCGGGCCCGUGCGACUCCCCGGCGGCGCCGCGGCGGUGGAUCUCUCCACCGGGGACUCGCACGUCGCCGUCGUCACCUCCGACGGCGCCGUCGUCGCGUGGGGCACGUUCCGGACGUCGAGCGGCCUGUGGGCGUUCACCCCGGAUCAGCAGAUCGCGCGGAGUCCGAUCACGGUGUACUCGCCGGAGACGCGGGCCGGGCGGAUCGCGAGCGUCGCGAGCGGGACGGAUCACGUCAUCGCGAGAACCGCCGGCGGCGACAUCUACUCCUGGGGCUGCGGCGAGAAAGGACGGCUCGGGCGCCUGCCCCCCGCGGACGCGGACAACACGAGCAAACGUGACGCGUCCGCGAAGACGAAGCUGCUGACGGCGUGUAAGGUGCCGAACCUCCCCGAGGGCGGCGUCACCGCGAUCGCGGCGGGGAGCUACCACUCGUUGGCGUUCGUCGCGGGCGCGAAGGAGGUGUACGCGUGGGGUUUGAACUCGUACGGGCAGCUCGGUCUCCCGUACGACAUGAACGAGGCGGGUUCGAACCAGGUGGAGUACUUCCCGAAGCGCGUGGCGCCGCUGUGCGGAAGAGGGUUCGUCGCCGGCGACGGCGGGGAGAAUCACACGGUGCUUUUGGACGACGGCGGGAAGGUGUACGCGCUCGGUCGAAGCGCGUACGGCCGACUCGGGCUCCCCGGGAUCGACGAGAUGAGCGACGAGCCGCGCUCGAGCGCGGAGCACGUCGUCGGGGUCUCGAAGAAGGCGACGAAGGUUGUCGCGGGAGGGAGCACGUCCGCGUGCGUGACGGACGACGGCGACGCGUACGUGUGGGGGUACGGCGAUUUGGGGCAACUCGGCCGCGGGUCGGAUCAGUCGGACGCGUUGACGCCGGUGAGGCUGGCGCCGACGAAGGCGAUGGGCGGUAAGCGCGUCGUGGACGUCUCGUUCGGGGGGCAGCACACCGCGGCGUUGUGUUUGCCUCCGAAGGGGAGCGAGGGGACGCCGAUCGCGAAGCGCACGCGCGGCGCGGGCGCCGCGUGAGAGGUCGGAAGCGAGAGAAGACGAGAUGAGCGACGGCGCGCGCGUGCGGCGAGGCACGACGACGGACUAUCAUGAGCUUAAGGGUACGAACGAAUGCACUCGCUACGAAUUAAGAUUAUCAUAAUAAAUCGUUUAUGGACGCUAACCUCGCUGCGUGAUUAAUGCGGCGCCGCGCCGCGGCCUUCCGCGACGAUGAGCCACACGUUCGAUAUCGAUAUGAACGCGCCGAGGAGGAGGAGGCCGACGCCCGCCGCGACUUCGAAGAGCGCCUCGCGCGUGAGCGUCGGAACGCCGCCGCCGCCGCCGCCGGUCUCUUCGUCGACGUCGUCGCCGAGCGCGGCGCCGCCGCCCGGUAACAACGCCGCGCGCAUCUCCUCGUGCGACGACGCCGUGAACGACGACAACGCGCCGUUCGCGCCCUUCGUCCGGAGCCUCCUCGGCGCGCUCCCGCCUCUCUCCUCGCCUCCCUCGCCGCCGCCGCGACGCCGCGCUCCCGCUCGCCGCCGCGCGACGACGACGCUCCACGCCGGUCGCGCGCACAACAACCCCGGAACGACGAAGAUCACCAGCACCGCCGCGGUGCUCCCGACCACCGUGAACACCGCGCCGAGGUCCGACACGAGCGACGCGACGACGCCCGUGGCGAAGACGAACGCUAUCGUCUGCGAGACGUGCCUUCCGAGCGGCGCCAUCCCCGCCGCGCGCUUCGUCCACCCGAACAUCGCGCACAGGGUGUCGUCGAGCGCGGCGCGGUGCGAGAAGUGGUUCAUCGCGUACGACCCGAUCGCGUUUACUCCCAUGAAGAGCUUACAUGUGAUGAUCCACGUGUUUUUUUCGUCGUAGCUCUCGAGCAUGUUCGACUCGACGUCGGGGUGCGCGUAAUGCGCGGCGGUUCGAUUUGGGUUUCGAUUUCGAUUUCGACGCCGCGAUGACGACGUCGCCGUCGGCGUCCGCUCCGAAAACGUUCGCGCCCCCCGCGCCCGCGCCCGCGCCCGCGCCGCGUCGUCCACUCGGCGACGAUACCAGCGACCCUAUCGACGACGACGGCGACAGGCUCGACCGCGGCGUCGCGAACCCGGGGAACGCGUCGUCCGCGUCCAUCGGCGCGAGCGGCGGGCGGGCGUCGUCGUCGCCGUUUUCGUUUUCGUUUUCGUUUUCGUUUUCGCCGCCGUCGUCGUCGUCGUCGCGCGGAUCGUCGCGGAACUCCGCGAACACGCUCAACACCUGCACGUGCACCUGGAACGCGAACACGAACACGGGCAGCGCUCGGACGACCCCGGCGCCGAGCUUCCACGCGACGACGACGUCGCCGCCGCCUUCGCCCUCAUCGCCGCCGCGGAUGAGUUUCUCGCCCGCGUCCACGACGACAACCGUCGCCGUAAACGCCAACGCGACGACCGCGAGCGCGCUCGCGGGCGCUAAGCUCUUCGUCCGCCGGAGCAGCGACAGCGGCAGCAGCGCGAAGACGCUCGCGAACGUCACGACGCCGACCCUCCCCGUGGGUUGUGCGAACGGCGGGAGAGGGAGACGACGACGAAGCAUACGCGAGAGCCCCGGGAAUCCGUUCGUCGCGGCGUCCACGGCGUCGACGACGAUGACGACGUACGCCACGCACGACCCGAACGCGAAGAGCAUCAGCGCGACGCCGACGACGUGCGCGAACUCGGGCCCGAACGCGCGGAGGACGAGGGCUUGGUACGAGUCCGCGUUUGAACGCUCGCCGUGCUUCACGAUGACGUCGACGGUGAAGAUCGUGAGCGAUGCGGCGACGAGGACGAGGACCGCGCCGAGCGCCGCGCCGCACUCGCGGACGCCGUCGGGGAUGGAGAGGAUGCCAGCGCCGACCGCGCAGUUGCACAGGUUGACGAUCGUGGUGGGGAAGCUCGCGGAGCGGGUCGAAGGCGUCGCGGCGGCGGCGGCGGCGAUCUCGCCGUCGUCGUCGUCGUCGUCCUCCUCCUCAUCUCGACGCGUCGUCAUCUGCGCGCUCGUCUCGUCUUGAGCUCCUCGCUAGAACCCCGGGGGCAGGCGCCCUUCGCGCGCGAGCUUGAGACGCUUUCGCUCUUGCGUCGCCGUGAAGACGGCGAGGAACGUGGCGACGGAGCAGAACCCGAGCGCGGCGACCGCGACCCGAUCGCUAAGCGCCAUCCGCCGGCAUGCACGGGUCGGGGGCGCGGUGGAGCCCUCACCGCGUGCGCACGGGAAAAUGAACGCGCUGAGCGCGCGCGCGUCGACGAGACGAAAAUCGAUCGACCAGACGAAUCGAGCUCGCGAUGGCUGAUGACAUCUGAAUUGCCUCCAAUUCAGUAGCCUCCGCACCGCUCGACGCGUCGCAGCGCGCGCGAUGAUGGAACUCGAACCCCUCCCCGCGCAGUCCGGGGUGAACGGCCUCGACUACGCCUGGUCGCACUCCCUCCGCGAGGAGGUCGAGACGCACGGGUCGUACUGGGACCACCACGACAAGCGUCGCGAAAUUUCCGACGCAUUGUCGCGAAACGCGGAAGCGUCCACGGAGCCUCCGAGGGAGGAGAAGUGGGCGAAGCGGCUGCGUUUGCGGCUCGAAAAGCUGAACGGCGAUCCGGACGACGCGGACGACGCGACGACGCCGAAGAUUUCGCUGGAGGACGUCGCGCGCGAGGCGAUCGACGGCGAGCCCAUCCCGCGCUCGCGUCGCGUGAAGAUCACGUCCCCGAGAAGCGCCAUCGCGUGCCUCGUCACGGGAACGAAUCCAGACGACCUCGUCCCGCGCGUCCCGACGCCGUCGACGGGAACGUACCCGGAGAGCGCGUACGAGGACCAGGCGUUACUACGCGCGGAGAAACGCAAGAGGCACGCGAACGCGACGCGGCUCACGGCGCUGCUGGACAAGCGCGACGCGAUGACGCGAGAGGAUGUCGUUCGGUACCUGGCCGAGUUGGCGGACGCGAGGCGAGCGGCGGAGGCGGCGGAGGCGGAGGAGGCGCGGAAGCGAGAGGCGGAGAUGGAGGAGGCGCGCAGGCUCGCGGAGGAGGCCGCGGAGAGGGAGAGGAACAAGAGGUUGCCGAUCGUGGAGGCGGCGUACCCGACCCCGGCGCCGGAGCCGGAGGAGGAAGAGGAGCAUGAUUACGAUCACUACGACCGCGACGACGACGCGGGGGGGCGACCCGGCGACGAUUUCGAAGACGACGACGACUCCGACGCGGCGUCCGAAUUUGACGCGUACGCGGAGGACUACGAACGCGCGCUGAAAGCGAAGCGCGAGGCGUACGCGGCGAACCACGCGGAGGAGCGGAAGAGGACCGCGAGGCGGCUCGCGGAGCUGACGAGGAAGGAGCUGUAUCCGCCCGACGGCGACGGCGGCGGCGAGAACCAAUUUCCAAACCGCGGCGGCGGCGGCGGCGGCGACGACGCCGGCGCGAACGGGACGACGCGCGCGAACUCGUUCCGAGGCCCGAAGCGCCUGAUCGUGGACACGAAGAUCGGCGCGCGCGUCAACCUGGGCGGGUCCGCGGCGUUCGCCGCGCCGACGGUGCGCUUUAAUCCGCCGCCGGGCGCGAAGAAGAGAGGAAGAGUAAAAAGAAAAGGAAAGAAGAAGAGCGACCCCCUCGACGCGCCGAUGUCCACGAUGGAGAAGCUCAAGAUCCUCGAGCGGCUCGUGGACGAGAAGAACGCCGCGGAGGCUAAGAAGCAGCGCAGAGAGAAUCGCGCGCGGAUGGACCGCGCGGGCGAGCUCGCGGAGGAGAAGUCGCGGCUGGACGACGCGGCGCGCGCGAGAAAGGUGCGUUCUAUCUCACACUGGUCCCCAUACGACCGCGUCGGCGUGGUGAACGCCGAUCCUUAAGGACUUUUAUCGGCGCGUCUCUCCGCCCAGGGUCCCUCGCUUUCAAUCUCCGCCCUCGGCGCCUAUCAACUCCGCUUCUGACGCCUUUCAACUCCACCCCGACGUUCACUUGAAAGGCGGAAGAGGCGGCGCUCCUCGCGGAAGCCGAGCGCGUCUCCGCGGCGAAAGCGCGCGCGAGGCGAGAGCAGGACGCGCGGCUCGAGGCUGCGGAGCGCAAGAGGGAGCAGACGCAGAUGGAGACGACGCGGAAGUUUGCGCGGGUGAACACGCACACGGGCGGGUUUUCGGAGCCGCGGACGCCGCGGCUCGGCGAGCUCGGCGCGACGCCGAAAAUUUCCGGCGCCGCGACGCGGCGGCGGCCGUCGAGCGCCGCGCCGUCGAUCUCGCUCUCGCUCUCGUCGCCGCGCGCCUCCCCCGGAGGAGGAGGCGCGUCUUUGUUGGCGACGCAGGACAGCGUGCGGUCGUCCCUCGGCGCUUCCCCGAGCUUCGUCGCGGAGGCGCCGCGCACGCCGCGCGGCGCCAGCGGCGCGUUCCCGUCGCCGCCCGACGCUCCCGGCGGCGGCAGCGUCGCGAGCAGCCCGCGACUCUCCCCCGGGAGCUUCGGGACGUCGUCGCGGUUCCCCGUCGCCGCCGCCGCCGCGAUGCGUCGACCCGCGAGCGCGCAGCCGCGCGCGACGAAACCCGGCGCGUCGUCGGUGGCGGAGGAAAAAGCAGACGCGCUCGCGUUGGAACGCGCCGCCGAAGCCGCGUUCGAAGCCGCCGCGAUUCAGCUCCGGGAGGUCAAGAUCGCGAAAGCGAGAGACGCGCGCGCGGCGAUGGAGCUCGAGAAGCAGGAGCGGCGCCUCGCGGAGAGCGCGGAGCGCGCGGCGGUGUUACGCCGUCGAAAAGACGCCAAGACCAAACGCGACGCCGAGGCGCUCGCCGCCGCCGUCGCCGAGUCCGAGCUCAAAAACGCGGCGGUGAAGCUCCGACGCGAGGAAAUCGCCGCGGAGCGCGCGGCCGCGAUCAAACGCCGCGCGCUGAAAGCGGAGCAGCUCCAGGAGGCGGCGACGUUGAACCGCGCGCGCGACACCGCGACGCGCGCGGAGUGGCGGUCGUCGCUCGCGGAUCUCCGCGCGGACAAGUUUGAACGCGCGACGAACGCGUACGAAACGCGUUUAGACGACGCCUCCGCCGCGAUUCGCGACAAGCACGCGGAGGAGGCGCACAAGAUCAUCGGCCACAAACGCGAGAUGAGCGCGAAGGAGCUCGACUUCGCGAAGCGGAUCACGGAGCAGGCGCGGCGCGAGCGCGUCAAGGUGGAGGCGAGCGUCCGCGAGCUCAAGGCGACGGCGCGGCGGCUGCGCGUGCCCCCGGACGCGUUGCACGCGCCGGGGUCUCCCGAGGUGCGUUCCAUCGCGGCCGCGACGCGAGGGAACCUUCCGAGGUCGCCGCGGGAGCACGAUAAGAGCGACGCGGCGACGAAGCGCGUCGUGAAGGAGCUGGAGGAGAAGAACCAGGCGUUGGAGGAGGCGCUGGAGGAGACGCGGGCGAAGCUGGAGAGCGAGUUUGGCGCCGCGGCGGCGGCGGGGGGAGGGGCGGAGGGGACGCCCGCGGCGGCGCGGCGGAGGCGCGGGGCGCCCAAGCCCGCGGGACCGUACACCGAGUACACCACGCCGUAGACUGUGACGUUGAAUAAUAGUUCAACCCGUACACGGAAUACACCACGCCGCGUCGAGGACGUAAUGCGAUGAUGAUAUCGUAUCUCGCGCGCGCUCGAGAACGAGACGUCGAAAAGCGAAAAAGCGUUGCGAAAAAGUGCGAGUGCUCGGCGGGCCACGUCGGGGUGGAGUUGAAAGGCGUCAGUUAAAGUUGAAAGGCAUCGAGGGCAGGGAUUGAAAGCGAGGGGUGGGCUCAGAGAAACGCCGGGAAUUGUCCUUAAGGAUCGGCGUUCACCACGCGAACGGGGUCGUAUGGGGACCAGUGUAUAGGACGCACCGCGAACCCGCCGCCCCCAGGCGGGCGUAAAAAGCGAUUAGGUUUACGUACCCCGAGAGGGUCACCGCGACCACAGCGCGGCACACGCUCGAACGCGCGGCCGCGAUGUCCGCGUCCACGUCGGCCGCGGCCCUCGCGCCCAUCGGGCGGCGCGCGCGCGCGCGCGGCUCGACGCGCGCGCGUCCGCGCGCGAAUGCGCGCGUCGUCCGCGCCGCCAUCGCGGAUCCGCCUUCUUCGCCAAAUACGCCCGCGCGAUCCGACGCGGAACUCCGCGCGGAGCAAGCGCUCCUCGCGGGCGACGACAGCGACGGCACGAUCGCCGGGUUCACGAAGCUCGAGUGGAGUUGCAUUCAGACCCCGGCGAGGUACCUCGGGAACGAGAUCGGCGCGGUGCACAAGCCGUGGACGGAGGCGGAGGUUCGGUUCGCGAUGGCGUAUCCGGAGAUCUACGAAGUCGGCGCGUCGAAUCUCGGGCACGUCGUGCUGUACACGAUCUUGAACGACCAGCCCGGGAUGCUGUGCGACCGCUCGUACCUCCCCGGUCCGGACAUGGAGGCGCUGCUGAAGGCGAAGAACCGGACGCUGUUCGCGGUCGAGAGCAAGCGGCCGUUGACGCACUUCGACGCGCUCGGCAUGUCCCUCGCGUACGAGCUGUCGUCGGUGAAUCUGCUUCAGGCGCGUUCUAUACACUGGUCCCCAUACGACCCCGUUCGCGUGGUGAACGCCGUUCCUUAAGCACUUUGCCCGGCGUUUCUCUCCGCCCAUCCCUCGCUUUCAAUCCCCGCCCGCGGUGCCUUUCAACGCCAACUGACGCCUUUCAACUCCACCCCGACGUUCGCUUGUAUGGAACGACCCUCAGAUGAUGUCUCUGUCCGGGGUGCCGCUGACGUGGCGGGAACGGGACGAUAAGCCGGACGAGCCGUGGGACGUGGAUGACGGCUCGUGGCCGUUCGUUUUCAUCGGCGGACCGACGGCGACGAGCAACCCGGAGCCCGUCGCGGA